Molecule: ribosomal RNA, 498 nt
Filed under: uncultured bacterium
Lineage: Bacteria
Description: partial 16S ribosomal RNA
Rfam family: Bacterial small subunit ribosomal RNA
Source: RNAcentral
AUUGAACGCUGGCGGCAUGCCUUACACAUGCAAGUCGAACGGUAACAGGUCUUCGGAUGCUGACGAGUGGCGAACGGGUGAGUAAUACAUCGGAACGUGCCUAGUAGUGGGGGAUAACUACUCGAAAGAGUGGCUAAUACCGCAUGAGAUCUACGGAUGAAAGCAGGGGAUCGCAAGACCUUGUGCUACUAGAGCGGCCGAGGGCAGAUUAGGUAGUUGGUGGGAUAAAAGCUUACCAAGCCGACGAUCUGUAGCUGGUCUGAGAGGACGAUCAGCCACACUGGGACUGAGACACGGCCCAGACUCCUACGGGAGGCAGCAGUGGGGAAUUUUGGACAAUGGGCGAAAGCCUGAUCCAGCAAUGCCGCGUGCAGGAUGAAGGCCUUCGGGUUGUAAACUGCUUUUGUACGGAACGAAAAGCCCUGGGUUAAUACCCUGGGGUCAUGACGGUACCGUAAGAAUAAGCACCGGCUAGCUUCGUGCCAGCCGCCGCGGUAA